Molecule: transfer RNA, 74 nt
Filed under: Deinococcus aetherius
Lineage: Bacteria; Thermotogati; Deinococcota; Deinococci; Deinococcales; Deinococcaceae
Description: tRNA-His
Rfam family: tRNA
About the family: Transfer RNA (tRNA) molecules are approximately 80 nucleotides in length. Their secondary structure includes four short double-helical elements and three loops (D, anti-codon, and T loops).
Source: RNAcentral
GUGGUCGUCGUUCAACGGCAGGGCGCCGCGUUGUGGACGCGGAGAUCAUGGGUUCGAGGCCCAGCGAUCAUCCC